RNAcentral lists this ribosomal RNA (889 nucleotides) under uncultured archaeon. RNAcentral's name for it is "bacterial SSU rRNA". It matches the Rfam family "Archaeal small subunit ribosomal RNA", at positions 1 to 898 of the family's 1478-position model. The record is from RNAcentral.
UUUUCCGGUUGAUCCUGCCGGAGGUCACUGCUAUUGGGAUUCGACUAAGCCAUGCGAGUCGAGAGGGUUCGGCCCUCGGCAGACGGCUCAGUAACACGUGGAUAAUCUGCCCUUAGGUGGAGGAUAACCUCGGGAAACUGAGAAUAAUACUCCAUAGAUCUAGGAUGCUGGAAUGCACUUAGAUUGAAAGUUCCGACGCCUAAGGAUGAGUCUGCGGACUAUCAGGUAGUAGUCAGGGUAAAGGCCUGACUAGCCUACGACGGAUACGGGUUGUGAGAGCAAUAACCCGGAGACGAUAUCUGAGACACGAUAUCGGGCCCUACGGGGCGCAGCAGGCGCGAAACCUUCACAAUGUGCGAAAGCACGAUGAGGGGAUCCCAAGUGCUUGCUCGUAAGAGUAAGCUGUUUUUAUGUCUAAAAAGCAUAGAGAGUAAGGGCUGGGUAAGACGGGUGCCAGCCGCCGCGGUAAUACCUGCAGCUCAAGUGGUGACCGCUAUUAUUGGGCCUAAAACGUUCGUAGCCGGUUUGGUAAAUGCCUGGGUAAAUCGUGUAGCUUAACUAUACGAAUUCCGGAUAGAUUGCCAAACUUGAGACCGGGAGAAGCUAGAGGUACUCCUGGGGUAGAGGUGAAAUUCUGUAAUCCUGGGGGGACCACCAGUGGCGAAGGCGUCUAGCUAGAACGGGUCUGACGGUGAGGAACGAAGCCCUGGGGCGCAAACCGGAUUAGAUACCCGGGUAGUCCAGGGUGUAAACGCUGCUUGCUUGAUGUUAGUUGGGCUCCGAGCCCAAUUAGUGUCGGAGAGAAGUUGUUAAGCAAGCUGCCUGGGAAGUACGAUCGCAAGAUUGAAACUAAAGGAAUGGGCGGGGCAGCACAAGCAAAGCGGAGUGC